Molecule: ribosomal RNA, 603 nt
Filed under: uncultured Staphylococcus sp.
Lineage: Bacteria; Bacillati; Bacillota; Bacilli; Caryophanales; Staphylococcaceae
Description: bacterial SSU rRNA
Rfam family: Bacterial small subunit ribosomal RNA
Source: RNAcentral
GGCGGACGGGUGAGUAACACGUGGAUAACCUACCUAUAAGACUGGGAUAACUUCGGGAAACCGGAGCUAAUACCGGAUAAUAUUUUGAACCGCAUGGUUCAAAAGUGAAAGACGGUCUUGCUGUCACUUAUAGAUGGAUCCGCGCUGCAUUAGCUAGUUGGUAAGGUAACGGCUUACCAAGGCAACGAUGCAUAGCCGACCUGAGAGGGUGAUCGGCCACACUGGAACUGAGACACGGUCCAGACUCCUACGGGAGGCAGCAGUAGGGAAUCUUCCGCAAUGGGCGAAAGCCUGACGGAGCAACGCCGCGUGAGUGGUGAAGGUCUUCGGAUCGUAAAACUCUGUUAUUAGGGAAGAACAUAUGUGUAAGUAACUGUGCACAUCUUGACGGUACCUAAUCAGAAAGCCACGGCUAACUACGUGCCAGCAGCCGCGGUAAUACGUAGGUGGCAAGCGUUAUCCGGAAUUAUUGGGCGUAAAGCGCGCGUAGGCGGUUUUUUAAGUCUGAUGUGAAAGCCCACGGCUCAACCGUGGAGGGUCAUUGGAAACUGGAAAACUUGAGUGCAGAAGAGGAAAGUGGAAUUCCAUGUGUAGCGGUGAAAU